AGCAGCCACUCAUUAAAAGAGUGCGUAAUAGCUCACUGGUCGAGUGACUCUGCGCCGAAAAUUUAACGGGGCUAAACUAUACACCGAAGCUUGGGAUACAUCUAAUGUAUGGUAGGAGAGCGUUCUGUAUGGGGAGAAGUCGUAGCGAAAGCGGCGGUGGACUAUACAGAAGUGAGAAUGCCGGAAUAAGUAGCGAGAAUUAAGUGAGAAUCUUAAUGGCCGAAAGUCUAAGGUUUUUGGAGGAAGGUUCGUCCGCUCCAAGUAAGUCGGGAGCUAAGGUCAGGCCGAAAGGCGUAGCCGAUGCACAUACGGUUGAUAUUCCGUAACCAUCUGUAAUUUAAGCAAAGGGACACUUCAAAAGGGUGUGACCCGGGCGUUGGUUGACCCGGGCGUAAGGGACCGAAAUUAGAGUAGGGAAGCACACUUAGCUGAAGGCGAGAAAAGCUUUGCGUAUAGAAACAGAUGCCCGUACCGCAAACCGACACAGGUGGACAGGAAGAGAAUUCUAAGGCCAGCGGGAGAAGGGUAGUUAAGGAACUCGGCAAAUUGACUCCGUAACUUCGGAAUAAGGAGUGCUCGAAAGAGCCGCAGAGAAUAGGCCCAGGCGACUGUUUAGCAAAAACACAGGUCUCUGCCAAAUCGAAAGAUGAAGUAUAGGGGCUGACACCUGCCCGGUGCCGGAAGGUUAAGAGGAGGAGUGAGAGCUCCGAAUUGAAGCCCCGGUAAACGGCGGCCGUAACUAUAACGGUCCUAAGGUAGCGAAAUUCCUUGUCGGGUAAGUUCCGACCCGCACGAAUGGUGUAACGAUCUGGGCACUGUCUCAACUACCCACCCGGCGAAAUUGUAGUACCGGUGAAGAUGCCGGUUACCUGCGGCAAGACGGAAAGACCCCAUGGAGCUUUACUGUAGCCUGAUAUUGGGUUUCGGAAAUCUAUGUACAGGAUAGGCGGGAGACUGGGAAACAUGAGCGUCAGCUUGUGUGGAGUCGAUGUUGGGAUACCGCCCUUAGGUUUCUGGAAUUCUAACCUGCGGCCGUGAAUCCGGUCGGGGGACAUUGUCAGGUGGGCAGUUUGACUGGGGCGGUCGCCUCCGAAAAGGUAACGGAGGCGCUCAAAGGUUAGCUCAGCACGGACGGAAACCGUGCCUCUGAGUGUAAACGCAAAAGCUAGCCUAACUGCGAGGGUGACGGCCCGAGCAGUAACGAAAGUUGGAGUUAGUGAUCCGGCGGUAUGUGAAUGGAAAUGCCGUCGCUCAACGGAUAAAAGCUACCCUGGGGAUAACAGGCUGAUCUCCCCCAAGAGUCCACAUCGACGGGGAGGUUUGGCACCUCGAUGUCGGCUCAUCACAUCCUGGGGCUGUAUUCGGUCCCAAGGGUUCGGCUGUUCGCCGAUUAAAGUGGUACGCGAGCUGGGUUCAGAACGUCGCGAGACAGUUCGGUCCCUAUCUGUCGUGGGCGCAGGAUAUUUGAGGAGCUCUGUCCUUAGUACGAGAGGACCGGGAUGGACGUACCUCUGGUGCACCAGUUGUCAUGCCAAUGGCACGGCUGGGCAGCUAUGUACGGAACGGAUAAACGCUGAAAGCAUCUAAGCGUGAAGCCGACUCCAAGAUUAGAUAUCCCAUCGUAUAACGAGUAAGACCCCUUGAAGACUACGAGGUUGAUAGGCUGCGUGUGUAAGUGCCGUGAGGCAUUCAGCUUGGCAGUACUAAUAGGUCGAGGGCUUGACCAC
This 1727-nucleotide ribosomal RNA is filed under the name human gut metagenome. RNAcentral's name for it is "bacterial LSU rRNA". It matches the Rfam family "Bacterial large subunit ribosomal RNA", at positions 1111 to 2925 of the family's 2925-position model. The record is from RNAcentral.